GAGCCGAGAGCAUAAGAGGUGCUAGUUAAAAGUGAGGUUUGAUUAGUACAACAGGUGGCAGGGUUUCGGCGUGCUGUGAGGAAUCUGGGCUGCUCCAAGUUCCCAUCGCUUUCCUGGCAAGGAAAGAAGGAGGUGAGUGACCUCGCUGUCGAGGAAGGAGAAGACCGUAGUGCACGCUCAACUGAUGUCUUUUCCAGGAGGAAUUCAGGACAUUGUGUAGGCAGUCUGAGAAAACUUGAAGGAGGACACAUGACAGCCAUCAUGCUCUUCAAACAAAAGGGGGCCACUGCCACCUCUUCUCAAAUUCCAUUCUUCCCAGAGAAUGUUUCCCUGAAUAGUCUGCCCAUCCCAAAUCCUUUUGCUGAGUGGUUAGGUCAAUGGAAAGUCUUUUGCAGACCUCUCUCUCUCAUCCGUUGAACUCAAACUUCAAUGUACAUGAUAAACCCCGGGGAGCUCAUUAUAAUGAUUCCUCAGCCCUGCUCCAAACCUACUGAAUCAGAAUCUCCACCGUGGUCCCAGUAUUCUCAACUUUAGGCGCUUCUUAUGUAGCACACUGUUCUUUCUCUGGUUUGGAGGAAGGGAUCCAUCCAACCGCCCAUCCAUCCAUCUAUCCAUUCAUCCUUCCUUCCAUCCAUCCGUCCAUCCAUCCAUUCAUCCUUCCAUCCUUCCAUCCAUCCAUCCAUCCAUCUAUCCAUCAUCCAUCCAUCCAUCCUUUCAUCCAUCCAUCCAUCCAUCCAUCCACCCAUUUAUUCAUUCAAAAAAUAUUCAUCAAGGGCCUAUGAUGUGCCAGGCAUGCUCCAGUCAGUGGAGAUACAGAAGUGACGAAGACAGAAAUGUCUACCAUCAGACAUGUUGCUUCCUUGUGAGGAAAAAAGACAGGUAGGUAAGUUAUGUAGUCUGUCAGUGGGGGUAAGUGCUAUGGAAAACCUAAAGCAGGAGAGAGAGAAAGGGAAUGUGAUGGGGCAGCCGAAAUUUUAACAAGAGUGGUUGGGCAAAGCUCCUCUGAGAAGGUGACAUUUGCAUUGAAGAUUUAAAAAAGGAGAGAGAGCCGGCCAUGAUGAUGCCCAUAGAAAGAAAGAAUUCCUGACAGAGGGACCAAAAAUAGCGAGGUCCAGAGCCAUGGUAGCCUGUCCUAGAAAUAGAGAGUCAGUGCAGCUGGGCUGGGGGUGAGUCAGAGAGGCUGGGAGGAGCUGGAGCACGCGGGCGCUGAGGCCACUGGAGGACUCUGGGUUUGACUCUGGUUGGGAUGAGAAGCCCUUGGAGGGGCUGGAACUGUGGAGUUGUGUGAUCCAAUUGUGGUUGUAACAGAAUCACUUUGGCUGCUAUGUUUAGAAUAAACAAAAAGAGGGCGAAAUGGAUUCAGGUAGCUUGGUUAGGAGGCAAGUGCAAUAAUCCAGGUGUGUGAUAGGGCUGCCACUUAUAGGCUGUGUCUGCAUGAUCCUAGAGGGCGCCACUGCACAAACACUGUUGGAAUAGUGCCACGUGAUUGCCCUGCUUGGGCCUGGGGGUUACCAGCAGAUGCUGCGGAAAGUGCUAGGAUUCUGGCUCCAUGUGGAAGGGCUCUUCCUGCAGAGCAAGUACAGGGUAGAAAUGUCGUUUCGAUUCUCAAGAACCAGCAGAAUGGCACCAAGUGUUCUCCUGGUUUUGUCGUGGGCCAUCCAUCUCCCAAGAGCCCGGGAAGACAGAGUGGAAAGGUCACCGGGAGGACCUCGCUGGGUGCUGCUCAUAUUUGUGACCAGACCAACAACUGGCUGACUCCAACUUGGAUGAAUUUGAGGACAUGUCUCUGGGGUGAAGAGUGGUCAACAAGAAAACCUCACGUUCCCUGCUCCAGGGGACGCAGCUGGGGAGGGUCUUGGUCGUGGAAAAUCGCUGCUGUCCCAGAGUCAGAAGACCGAGCAGGGUGCCUCACCUCCAACAUGAAAAAGAAAUAAAGAUCAAUAGAAACACACAAAAUGAGGUGCGGAAAAGGGAACUUGUGCCCUGAAAUCCCUCAAGACUAAUAGUUGAAAUUAUUGUGACAAGUGCAUUCUUGUCACAAUGGGCUAGUUGACAUUUCUCCAUUAAGAUAAAAAUUCCAGCAUUUUCUAAGGGAUGUCAGUUUAACGACAUUCUUUGAACAAAAUACCCAAGCUCGCUGACUUAGCCUCCCUUUGACAAGGUCUGACCUCUUUGUCUUCAAAGGUAAAUACCGACUCUGACAACGGGUGAAAAGCAUUCACUUCAAGUUGUUGCGAGCUCUCCCUGACAUACGUAUUCUGUGAC
Molecule: long non-coding RNA, 2265 nt
Organism: Equus caballus (horse)
Lineage: Eukaryota; Metazoa; Chordata; Mammalia; Perissodactyla; Equidae
Source: Ensembl